RNAcentral lists this long non-coding RNA (2513 nucleotides) under Mus musculus (house mouse). RNAcentral's name for it is "predicted gene, 32540". Lineage: Eukaryota; Metazoa; Chordata; Mammalia; Rodentia; Muridae. The record is from RNAcentral.
UGAUGGGUUUGCAUUGACCACGUGGAUGGAGUUGGGCAUUCUGCCUGACAUGUUGGACCUUGUGACAUGCGUGCACCACAAUCAAAAUGUGUACCCACCCACAUGUUCCAACCCCUGGCCCUGUGCGUCUCUGCUCCUGUCUCCACGCCAUAGACUUCCUGCAGGUCUAUCCCCAGAAGCCACAGUGUUGAGAUUCCUCGUCUACACUCCCUCUGAUUUCUCUUUAAGAAAGAGAGCAGGUAUCUGUAACACUUGCUGGGGCAGGAAGACCAUGGAGCCUUGAGGAGAAGAAAACCAAGGCAACCAAAGCAAAAAAAGUUGGCUCUGUUUUCAGAGAAGCCUGAGAAUAAAAGUGUGACUGUAAAGCAAACAAACAAACCAAAGCUGGAAGCCGCAGUCCCACACUCGGCUGGAAUGGAGGAUUCCUCCUGCACGCUAACUUCUCAGCAACUGACUUUGGAUGGAAGUCCUGGCUGGGGAAGUGAUUCCAUCGUGGUGUUCCUUUCAACUCCAACUGACCACUUCCCAUCCCUUUAGCUGUGAGGAAGAACCAAACGUUCCCUAGCUCAACAUUUUCAGAAGGGCAUGUUCCAGUCUCCUCCUAAAACAGACUCGAGAAACAGGCCAAGUAGCAGCCUUGGCUUAACCAGCAUAGGCUCACACAAGGACAGGAAAUUCAUCUGGGCUGCUGACAUUCUGAAUAGCUGCCACCUUCGAUGCCAGGAGAGGAGGACAUCGGCAGUGUCGUUAAAUGAAAUGGAUGGUAAUUACAGAGGAGUGAGCUUCGGAAGCUCCUAAAUCUUCUCUGAGGAUGCUGCUGUCACUACUGGUAGCUCUGCUUGCCCCUCCUACACAUCCAUUGCCUUUAGCAUUAGAAAGCACUAUUGCACAACCUAAUAACUGACCCUGCGCACUUGACUGGGAUCAAAAUACCCGCAGCUGGGAAGACAGCUGUCAGUGAAGUUACGUAAGCACGGGGAUUCAUCUUCAAUAUCCAGGACCCACAUAAAAAGCCAGGGGUGGUGGUACAGUCUUGAAAUCCCAGCACUGGGGAAGCAGAGACAGGCAGGUCCCUUAAGCUCACCGGCCAACCACUAUAGCCUAAUCAGUGAGCUUCAGGUCCUCCAAGAGAGACAAGGUAGCCAGAUCCCAAGGGGUGCUACCUGAGGCUGACCUCUGGCCUUCAUAUGCAUGCACACACAUGCCCACAAAGAUCCACACAAUGUGCUCCUUUGGAAAAUCAAACCCACCCUAUACGUCUGAGGGUUUUACUCAGUCUGGACAUUACAAAGGAGUGCUGUGUCUACUAUAGUCCCAUUGACCUCCAGGGCUAAAGACUGGAAUUCUAGGCCUCAGAUAUGUUACCUUCUUUGCUCAGAGAUUGUUCUCAAAAAUUUUAAGACACUUUCUUGCUGGCAUCACCCUCUGGAUCCUUCUAUGUUGGCUUCCCAGGUUCUGGGUCUACAGAUGUCUAUAGCACCUCUGCUCUGCUUCUCGCCCAGCUUGGUGUAGAAUACAGAUGGUAUUGUGGAUGCUGGGAAGUGCUUGCUAAUGGAAACUUGAUAUGGCUGCCUCCUGAGAGAAUCUGCCAGAGCCUGACAAAUACAGAGGUGGAAGCUUGCAGCCAACCAUUGGACUGAGCGUAGGGUUCCCCGAUGGAGGAGUUGAAGAAGGGACUGAAGGAGCUGAGGGGGUUUGCAGUCACAUGGAGGGAGCAACAGUGUCAACCGGCCAGACCUGCCCCAUCCCCCCAGACCCCGGGACUGGACCACCAAACAAAGAAUACACAUGGAGGGACCCAUGGAGCUGGCUGCAUGUGUGGCAGAGAAUGGCUUUGUUGGACAUCAAUGGGAAGAGGGGUCCUAAGGGUGUAGAGGAAUGCCAGUGCAGGAAGCUAGGAGUAGGUGGGUGGGUGGGGGAGCAUCCUCAUAGAGGUAGGGGGAGGAGAGAUGGGAUGGGGGUUUCAGAAGGGAGGCCUGGAAAGGGGAAAACAUUUGAAAUGUAAAUAAAGAAAAUAUCCAUUUUUUUUAAAAGGUGAUUCCUGCGACCCUUUGGGACAAAGAGAGGAUAAGCCAACCCCUGAUCUACCAGGUGGUUGCGCUGCCAUUGCAGCUUGCCCAUAAGUCCCAGUGUUCAAAUUUGAAAGGUCUCUCAGCUCUGUGAGCUGUGCUCCUUUACCUGAGAAGGAGUAGGUAGGGCCCUUGGGCAAAUGCCCUGGGUUCCUUCAGGUUCUGAGGAGGCCAGAUUUGUCUGGCUAGGUAGGAGUUCCCCUGGCUUGCCUCUAUCGUAGGCCAGUCUGGAAAGAUGCAAGGGAGAGACAGAUUCGUUGAUGUAGGAUCUGGAUGUUGCCUGCUUUUUUAAAUAAAAGAAACAAAGAAAUAGGUCCACUCUCUCCCAGGCCCCUGGAAAAAUGUCCCAUCAUCCUCUGGGCAUCAUACAAGAACACACCCGCUGUCCUAAGGUAUGAAUGAGGCCAGUCUAGCUUUGGAACAAAUAAACACAAUGGCCUUGGG